This 90-nucleotide transfer RNA is filed under the name Bythopirellula goksoeyrii. Its description in RNAcentral is "Bythopirellula goksoyri tRNA-Ser". It matches the Rfam family "tRNA". Rfam says of the family: Transfer RNA (tRNA) molecules are approximately 80 nucleotides in length. Lineage: Bacteria; Pseudomonadati; Planctomycetota; Planctomycetia; Pirellulales; Lacipirellulaceae. The record is from RNAcentral.
GGAGAGGUGGCAGAGUGGUCGAAUGCGCCGGUUUGCUAAAUCGGUGACCGGUUUACGCUGGUCCGCAGGUUCAAAUCCUGUCCUCUCCGC